GGGGGAUAUAGCUCAGUGGUAGAACAUUCGACUGCAGAUCGAGAGGUCUCCGGUUCAAACCCGGGUCCUCU
RNAcentral lists this transfer RNA (71 nucleotides) under Trichonephila inaurata madagascariensis. Its description in RNAcentral is "tRNA-Cys". It matches the Rfam family "tRNA". From Rfam's summary of the family: Transfer RNA (tRNA) molecules are approximately 80 nucleotides in length. Their secondary structure includes four short double-helical elements and three loops (D, anti-codon, and T loops). Lineage: Eukaryota; Metazoa; Arthropoda; Arachnida; Araneae; Nephilidae. The record is from RNAcentral.